RNAcentral lists this non-coding RNA (18 nucleotides) under Arabidopsis thaliana (thale cress). Lineage: Eukaryota; Viridiplantae; Streptophyta; Magnoliopsida; Brassicales; Brassicaceae. The record is from RNAcentral.
GUGGUCUAGUGGUAGAAU